CGUUAGCUCAGUUGGUAGAGCAACUGACUUUUAAUCAGUGGGUCGCAGGUUCGAAUCCUGC
Molecule: transfer RNA, 61 nt
Filed under: Salibaculum griseiflavum
Lineage: Bacteria; Pseudomonadati; Pseudomonadota; Alphaproteobacteria; Rhodobacterales; Roseobacteraceae
Also listed under: 1 other name
Rfam family: tRNA
About the family: Transfer RNA (tRNA) molecules are approximately 80 nucleotides in length. Their secondary structure includes four short double-helical elements and three loops (D, anti-codon, and T loops).
Source: RNAcentral